This 75-nucleotide transfer RNA is filed under the name Rasbora borapetensis (blackline rasbora). RNAcentral describes it as "tRNA-Lys". It matches the Rfam family "tRNA". Rfam says of the family: Transfer RNA (tRNA) molecules are approximately 80 nucleotides in length. Their secondary structure includes four short double-helical elements and three loops (D, anti-codon, and T loops). The record is from RNAcentral. Lineage: Eukaryota; Metazoa; Chordata; Actinopteri; Cypriniformes; Danionidae.
CACUAAAAAGCUAAAAACCGGACAAGCAUUGGCCUUUUAAGCCAAAUCUUGGUGAUUAACGACCACCUUUAGUGA